This 460-nucleotide ribosomal RNA is filed under the name uncultured bacterium. RNAcentral describes it as "partial 16S ribosomal RNA". It matches the Rfam family "Bacterial small subunit ribosomal RNA", at positions 338 to 795 of the family's 1533-position model. The record is from RNAcentral.
CCUACGGGUGGCUGCAGUGAGGAAUAUUGGUCAAUGGACGAUAGCCUGAACCAGCCAAGUCGCGUGAAGGAAGACUGCCCUAUGGGUUGUAAACUUCUUUUAUCUGGGAAUAAAACAGGGUAUGCAAACCCUCUUGUAUGUCCCAUAUGAAUAACGACCGGCUAAUUCCGUCCCGGAGGCAGCGGUAAUACGGAGGGUCCGAGCGUUAUCCGGAUUUAUUGGGUUUAAAGGGAGCGCAGGUGGAUUGUUAAGCCAGUUGUGAAAGUUUGGGGCUCAACCGGGAAAUUGCAGUUGAAACUGGCUGGCUAGAGUGCAGUAGAGGGAGGCGGAAUUCGUGGUGUAGCAGUGAAAUGCUUAGAUAUCACGAAGAACACCGAUGGCGAAGGCAGCUCACUGGACUGCAACUGACACUGAUGCUCGAAAGCGUGGGGAGCAAACAGGAUUAGAUACCCUAGUAGUC